This 301-nucleotide ribosomal RNA is filed under the name uncultured bacterium. RNAcentral describes it as "partial 16S ribosomal RNA". It matches the Rfam family "Bacterial small subunit ribosomal RNA", at positions 509 to 809 of the family's 1533-position model. The record is from RNAcentral.
CAGCAGCCACGGGAAUACAGAGGGUGCGAGCGUUAAUCGGAUUUACUGGGCGUAAAGCGUGCGUAGGCGGCUUCUUAAGUCGGAUGUGAAAUCCCUGAGCUUAACUUAGGAAUUGCAUUCGAUACUGGGAAGCUAGAGUAUGGGAGAGGAUGGUAGAAUUCCAGGUGUAGCGGUGAAAUGCGUAGAGAUCUGGAGGAAUACCGAUGGCGAAGGCAGCCAUCUGGCCUAAUACUGACGCUGAGGUACGAAAGCAUGGAGCAAACAGGAUUAGAUACCCCAGUAGUCCCUGUCUCUUAUACAC